This 388-nucleotide ribosomal RNA is filed under the name uncultured Methanosaeta sp. Its description in RNAcentral is "bacterial SSU rRNA". It matches the Rfam family "Archaeal small subunit ribosomal RNA", at positions 952 to 1338 of the family's 1478-position model. The record is from RNAcentral. Lineage: Archaea; Methanobacteriati; Methanobacteriota; Methanomicrobia; Methanotrichales; Methanotrichaceae.
GGUCAGGCUGAAGACCUUACCCGAUUAGCUGAGAGGUGGUGCAUGGCCAUCGUCAGUUCGUACUGUGAAGCAUCCUGUUAAGUCAGGCAACGAGCGAGACCCACGUCCACAGUUGCCAGCAUACCCCUCCGGGGUGAUGGGUACACUGUGGAGACCGCCGCUGCUAAAGCGGAGGAAGGAGUGGGCAACGGUAGGUCAGUAUGCCCCGAAUCUCCCGGGCUACACGCGGGCUACAAUGGUUGGUACAAUGGGCAUCUACCCCGAAAGGGGAAGGAAAUCUCUUAAAGCCAAUCGUAGUUCGGAUUGAGGGCUGCAACUCGCCCUCAUGAAGCUGGAAUCCGUAGUAAUCGCGUUUCAACAGAACGCGGUGAAUACGUCCCUGCUCCUU